RNAcentral lists this non-coding RNA (27 nucleotides) under Mus musculus (house mouse). RNAcentral also lists the same sequence under 1 other name. The record is from RNAcentral. Lineage: Eukaryota; Metazoa; Chordata; Mammalia; Rodentia; Muridae.
UAAAUCCAUGCCAUGUUGCAGAGAGUU